This is a long non-coding RNA of Alligator mississippiensis (American alligator), 8669 nucleotides long. RefSeq lists it as uncharacterized. The record is from RefSeq and is a predicted model, not a curated record. NCBI's taxonomy places the organism in Eukaryota, Metazoa, Chordata, Crocodylia, Alligatoridae. The transcript has 2 exons.
CACUAGAACAAGACAAUGAAAUAUAAUAUUAUUAACUGAGCAUAGCCAGGUGUGUCAGCCUAAGUUUCACUAGAUUUACUAGUGAAGCAAAUUAAGUUUGCUGGAAGUUUUCUGAACUAGUUUAGUCAUUCAAUCAAAGAGUUUUAAACCCAAGAUACCCUUUUUAGUAAGACAACAGCAGGUGUUAGAUUCUAUACUAUUUGCAUUUAUUCCAUACUUUGAAAUAUUAAUCUGAGGGGAGAAAUGGGGAAAACACUGUUAAAUGAAAAAACCGAAGGGUACUGAUGAACAGUGCAUUUGCCUUUUUUCCACUGCAACACCAAAACUAGUUAACUAGUCUCACCUAGUGGUACCCUUGAUCAGAAACAGUAAGAAACCUGAAUUCUUUGAUAGGGACAACCACUCUGUAGGGCCUAGAACCAGCUCAAGCAGAUCUAGAUUUGUGACCUAUGGUUCAGCUUUUCUGGACAGAGUAGGAUAUUAUUAUUUAGAUUUGUAACAACAAUUCCCAAAGUAAAAGGACAGAGGCACUGAUGUUCAAAACUACAUCCUUCCUAAAGAACUACUACUGCUUUUACUCAAUUAAAAAAAAACAAAACAAAAAACCUCAACACAGAUGCUGAACGAACAGGCGCAGUGAGCCUUCCCUCUACAGGAGGGUGCCUGUUUGUAAAUUGAGCCAUUCCAGUCAGCCCUUGGGAGCCAAAUUCCUGAAUUCACUGCAGAAGCUGAUCUUACUAUAGAACUAUGAGUCAUGUAUUUUAGCAAUUUAUGAACAGCACACUAUGAAUUUAACUCAUAAAUCAGCUUUUACCAAAUUAAGAAACACGGGUCCACAAAUGCAUGAUGCUACAUAAUACUCAUCUACCUAUCAUAGCUUCACUUGUCCCUGAAAAUACUUUAAGCUAUUUUUCUCAUAAGCAAAGUUGCAUAACGAGGAAAGAGCACACUGCUAGGCCAGGAAGCUGUAUCCAGAACAAUCUGCAUUGCAAAAAUGUGUUUGGUAUUAAAAGCCAGCCUUCAAACUGAAACAUCAGAAUGUCAGAACAGUGUUGAAGAGGGUUUUUAAGUGCCUGUUCUAUAGGAAUGAGGGUAUUCAUAUUUAUGCUUGAAAUGCAACAAGAGAGGAUAGAACAAUAAAUUUCAGGCUUUGCGGAGGUGAAUGAGAAUGCCUCUUAACCCAGGAAUGUAUGAAUCCAUGAAGGUGUUUGGGAAAUAAUUUUAAAGAAGCAGGGACAGGGAGAGGGGGAAGAGAAGAGCAGUUUUGAGAGACCUUCAGAAAUAUCAUUUGGGGUCUAGAUAUCUUUGCCUGAAGCUCUAUUGACAAAAGCAUCACAUCUUUAGAAAAUCCUGUCCAAAAGUCUUUUAAUCCACCCACACACAUGCAGAUGGGACUCUGCCCUCAUCCUACAGUUCUCAGUACUUGUACUUUGACGUACAAUCCCUGGAGCAAUUAAAAUGGUCACAUAGUACUAUGGCAGACACUUCACUCAAGGCUUAUAUUCGGAGAGGUUGUCAGAAGCUUAUGGUGUUCUAAAUGGGAUAUCCAUGGAUAGCCAUUUGUCAAACCCAUUAAAGAAGAUUAAUGGAGUAGAGUCUCAUCCUGGAAUGUACUGAAGUGUGCAACUUUUCUCCCCCAAAAGUCUGCAAACUACAUACUGAUAACGUAACCAGUGUGCAGGCAACUUCCAGAGUUUCUGCUAGUGGCCUGUUCUUAUGGACAAAUCCUGUCUGUUCUACUGUCUUAGAGAAGCUGUCUGUCAGGUAAGCAUAAUCUUUAUACACCAUUACUUGGACAUGCAUUCUCUAAGCACCUCUACUCAUGCAUAGGCAGAUAGAAGGAUUUCAUCAUUGCACUUGCAGGUGGUAGUUGUGUGCAAUGACUCUGUGUGUUAAUAGGUUUUACACAAAGAAACAUGAUUAAGUUAGUGGCCUGCUAAUACAGAGCUGCUUUAAGUUUAGAUUCUUAUUAUCCCACUUCACUUUAGCACUAGAGAUUCAGAAACAAACACCUGUGAAGCAAACAACUAAGGAGCCAAUGGUAAUAUAGCUAGAAUAUUCAUUUAAGUCUGUUCACAUUUUCAUUCAGGCUAACACCAGGGAGGAGUAUACCUGAAAUUUAAGUGCAGAACUUGCAGGUAAAGUAUGUGUUUGUUUAUUUUUCAGCAUGGACGUUUGUGGCCAUUGACUUGGGUUCCAUUUAAUUCCUGUAUAAAAUUAAUGCUUAAAAAGAGCCUUUCUUUUGCCAAACAUCAAUACCUUCCAUAUGGUGUUAGCACUACAUAAAUGCUUAAAAGGUCCUAAAUCCACUUUUCCUCUAACAUAUUAAAUAUAUGAAUCUUUUCAGGUCUAUAGGUCAAGGCAAUAUGGUACUAAUGCAGCCUACUUUUGGGAUGACAGCACUGACAGUGGUGUUUUCCCAAGCUUGACUCCAUAAAAAUGUAUUAGAGUUCUCUUAGAAAGGCCAACAUACAGUAUUUUUAAAAGUGGCUGUAGUGAUCAUGUCACAAAAAUGAUUUAUCAUCUUAAAAAAAAAUCACAAAACUAAUAUAAAUGCUGAAUACUGAAAAUAAUCUUUAUGUCUCACAAUCUGACUGACUUUGGUGUCAGUAAAAGCUGUCUACACCUUGCAUUUAGUAUUUCUUUCUCCUUGGAUCUUUGUAAGAAUGUCUUUGUCAAAACUGCUUGGAUAGAGUGAAAAACAACCUUUUUUAGAUUAUGACUCAUUUGGCUAUUACUUGCACAGGAAACCAAAUGCAUGUGUGCAUCAACAGCAUAAUUUGUACAUCAAAGCCUGUAGGAUUAUAGCUAUCAAGAUAUUGAGUUGUUUGGAUGCAUAUAACUUUCUGACCAACUCAUUUCCAAAAUAAAAUGAGACUACAGUAUUGUAUAGUAGCAGCAAAAUUAGCAGCACUGAAAUAGAGCUGCAGCCAGAUGGCAAUGGGAUUUUGGUAUGAAUAUGUGGAUAAAGGACAGGGCCCCUAAAAAAGAUCAGCAGCAGCAAUUGUUGCUUUAAAAUAAGAAUCAGUAACUUUAGAUGCAUUAUUUAGACAGUUAAAAAGUAACCUCCCCCUGCCCCUCAAAAAAAUAAAAUCCUUCCAGGCUGAGAUUUUCCAGUCUUAAUCUAUCCAAGAGGGAUUUCAGUUUGAGGGUGAAAAAAGAAAGAGAAAGAAAGAUUAAUGUGUGGAAAGAUUAAAACAACACCUUUUCCAGUAGAAACUUUUGUAAUAUUGUUUAAACUACCUAGUAGCCAAAAUAGUUGAGGACUGGAAGUUGUCAUUUGCUUGAAGAGUCCUCAGAAGUGUUUACUGCCUUGGCCCAAAGGAAACUAGUUUUAACUGUCUAAAAAUUACUAACUGGGCACUUAGUAGGGCUGGAGUGCUGUUGUUACAGCGAUGGUCCAAACAAAUGAGAGAAGCCAGUUUUUUGGCAUGAUCUUUUGUUGGAUCAACUGUACAGUUGGGAGAGACCUACCUUAGCUGUUCAGUCAACUGACCAUUUACCCCAGGGGCUUCAGACCGGCUGCAACAAUUUCCUGAAAGGUUGGGCAAUGUGUGGCUCAGACAAGUGACCAAGGAGGGGACAGGCAGCACAGCUGCAGAUAGGGCAGGAAGCAGACGACUGAACAGGGAGAUCAGGUAAGGAGCACAGGUUAGGAAGCAGAGCAGAUCAAGCACAUGGGUGCAGGGCUAAUUUGUGGCAUGCCUACCAAAAAGGUUGGCCCCAGUGUGCUGGAUAACCCCAAAUUCGCUGCUGCUUUCUUCACUUUGAGGUAAGGCAGUGUGCAAAACAUUAACCUAAGAUGAUGCGAAUUGUUGGAUGCAAAUUGUUUUCUCAUCUUCCUUGCAAUGUAACCUUCACAGAUGUCCUCCAUUUCAGCACUGCAGACCUUAUCUACACUGUGCUUUUUGUUUUUAGGUUAGGCAGUAUCACUUACCAAGUACUGAUGAGGAGUUUGUGGCCAGCUAACAGGUUAACACCAUUAAACCAUUUCUAUACCAUGUACUAACUAAAUGUUUUUUAGAAGCAUUAGUUGUUGUGUCUAUACAACAGUUAUAUUACAGCCUAGGAUCCCCUAGGGUGAUACAUUUUCACUGUUGUAAAGGUGUCCUAUCUAGCUAUAGCAGUAGAAGUCACCCUUAUACUACUACAUAAAUCUACAUUGGAGCAGGCCUUUUAUCCCAGCUGGGUGCAUCUACACAAGACGCUUUACUGUGCAUUAGACUAAUCUAAUGCGCAGUAAAGUGUCACCAUCUACAUGUGUGCAGCAAAUUAAAUUUAAAGCCCCAUUUGCUACUACUCACAGAUAAAGGUACUAGAAAAUGGUACUUUAAACUAUGGUGCUGAAGCACACGUGUAGAUGCCAACCAGAACCAAAUUGGUCCUGGUCAGCCCAGGCAGCAGGGGACCACAAUGGACCCAUGUCUCUCUCCAGUCCCAAUGCUGCUUGGCUCCUGCCUAGUUUCAGGGGGAGGUGGGAGCAGAACAGCUGGCUUGGAGCAAUGCCUCGUGCUUAAGCAACAACACCCUGAUCUCUCCCCUUGCUUUGCUUGCAGGUGGCAGAGGAGUCCAGGAUGAACUUGCUGGAUCAAUUAGUCAUCAAAAAAAGAAAGGAAAAGUUGCAUAAAUACUUUGAAAUCAGGAAACAUAGUACCAGGUUCCACAGGAUGCUCUGUUUAAGGUAAGCAGUUUUUCCUUUACAUUGCCAUUCUGGGAGAGCAUUAUAUAACUAAGACUACAGGAAUCGGCACAAGGAACACAUAUUCCACCUUAGUUUAGGCACUUGAGCUUCGAGUGCUCAGCAACGCCUUCCACUUUUCUCUUGGCACAAUCAACAUUAAUUUUUUAAAAUUACAUCAAAUGGCUUUUAUAACUAUCCAUUAUUUCCAAAAGGUCCAUUUUUAUUGUAAAAUGCUUUUAUUCAUCCUAGAAUUAGGACUGCAAUGUGAAAUUAACUCUAUUUCCAAGUUGAUACUCCCUUGAAGUUAGUUAGUUAAUUUUUUUUUAAAUAAGUGUUUCAUAGAAAUGGGAACUAAAUAUGCAAUCUAUUAAAUAUACAAGAUUAAACAGAAAGAGAAAAAAUCUUGCCCCCUGUAGCCACUUUCAGUGACAGUGAUUGUAGGUAAAAACAGUUGAUACCCUGUAAUCUGUUGUUUAAUUAUAGGUAUUAUUUUGUUACUAUAUCAAAAAGUAGAGAUGCACUGAUAUAUUGGUCCAUAUUGGAUUGGCACUAAUAAAAGGAAAAUUGACAUCAGCAAUCAGCAUUUUUUGGCAAUAAUGUCACCGAUAAAUACCACAUGCAUGCACGCAGUCGUGGCAUGCAGGCAGCCAGGAAUGCAGCCCCAUAUCUUGCAGAGCAGCAUCUGGCUGCUGAGUCUGUGGGGGAGGGAAGGGGGCAGAUAGAGGUCCCCACAGUGAGGGAGGGAGUGGGGCAGGUGCUGCUCAGCCAGGGCAGUGAAUGCGAUCCUGGAAGUGGGACGGAGCUGUGGGUGGUGGGGAAGAGGGGUGCACAUGUCUCUCGGAUUUAUGCACAGGAUGAGGGUGGGCUGCCUAUUGCAAGGCUUGGGGCCAGGGGCUGUGCUGACCUAUUCCCAGAGGUGGGGCUGGGCUCUGAGCAAACGGGGGCAGGGUGGGUUGGGGCAGUGCUGAGAGUGAUGGCUAUGGCAAAUUUUUUUGGUGGCCAUAGCAUACCCCAUAGCCACCCUUCCCAACACUGCUGCUGCCUAUCCCACCCCUGCCUGCUCUAAGUCCAGCCCUGGCCCAGUCCCCACCAGGAAGAGGCUGGCACAGCCCCUGGCCCUGAGCCUGCAACCAGCCCUUGCCCUGUGCACAUAUCCGGAGGGCACACGCUUCCCUCCCCCAGGGGUGUGCGCAGCAGCAGGGAGUCACCCCUCCCUCCCCCACCCUCCCAGACAAUCCACCUGUGGCUCUACCUUGCUCCCGGAGUCACAUUCACCACCCUGGCUGGGCAGCACCUGCCCCAGUCCCACUCCCUCCCUGACUGUGGGGGCCUUGAUUUGCCCCCUAACAUCUCUUUCCCCCCCCACACAGACUUGCCAGCCAGAUGCUGCUCUCCAAGCUGCUGCGCUGCAUAUUGGCUAUUGGAUUGAUAUCAGCCGAUAUGGCUGGUUAAUAAUUGGCCAUCGGUAUCAGCCAAAGAAGUCUUUAUUGGUGCACCCCUACAAAAAAGCACCAAGGAAAAGCUAAUAUGAAUGCCGAUGUUUAAAUCAUUUGUCUAAUUUGUGUUACCAUUUAUUGGAAAACUUUAAAUUGUUUACCAAAAAAGCACAAAACAAAUGUUUAACUAGAUCAAGUUACUGAAUUAGUUCUACAAAUUGUGUUUUGGGAGAAGUCUCUCCUCACAAAUUAAAUAAUGAAGAGGUAAUCCUAGGUUGCAUCAUUUUAAUAGCUACAGACUAAUCUGAAACAAGAUUAUACACCAGUACUCAGAAAAGCCUAAUCUGAUUACUGUUCCUUAGCAACAAUUGUGUUUCUACUCUUGAAGAAAUAUAAAAUGGACAGCAGUCCAUCUCUGACUGGGUACCAGCCUGAGAACAAGUCAUCCUUCGAAGUCUCAGGUGUGCUGGCUUUUCAGCUUUGUGGGUACAAUGUUUUGCACCUGAAAUUUCCUCCUUAAUUCCAUUUGUCUCCACAGCUGCUACAAUGUACUUUUCUAGUGGGAUCCAGAGGAACUGAACCCUAAAUCAUGUCAACUCAGAAGUUUUACUAUUAAAGGAAUAGCAGGCCUCACAUGGGUACAUUUUAUACUGGGAUAAUCACAUGUACAACUAGUUUAACUGCUCUUGUACCUAGGGGCUUUAUCCAUAAAAAAUAUGGUUUGGGACGGGGGUAGGGGGAACAGGGAUAUCACAUGCCUAAACAGCAGCAAUAUUGGGUUGAAAAAAAAUUUAAGUUUUGUGUUUUCAGCUUAGAGGUAAUAGGGUGCUCCUCCAGAAGAUGCCCAUGAAAUUCUUACCCACUCUUGGGCCUGUAAACACCUCCCAACACAGUGCACCAGCACUCCACCACUGCAUGCUUAUAUAUACAAAACUUGGAGCAUUAGUGACCUCUGCUUUCCACUUCCACAUCUGGAGGCAGCUCAGCCAAGGACUAACUUGGGUUUCAUUACAAUACAAAAUCUUAGGACUAAUACAGCCCAAAAGUUCACUUUUAAAAAGAUCCAACAGAAAAACUUGUAAUCUAAUAACCUAUUCAAUAUUGCAUUUCAAAUUAUGGGUCACCUUGUUUGUGACAAAUUUAAAUCAGCCUUUUCGUUUAAAAAACAAACAAACAAACAACCCCCCCCCCCAUACAUUCCCUACGCUAUUCAUACUUAAAUUUUAGUUGACAAAUGCCAAAUACUGCUGGGAACCUUUAUUUGAAAUACAGGCAGUCCUUGAUUUACGACGAACGGCACUUACAACCUUUAUAAACGAACACCAGGUUUUGAGGUUCUGAUGCAGGUUUCAACUUUAUGAUGCUCACUACAGCUGCAUCCAGCUGGUAAGUCUGGAAGGGGCGUGGGGCCACAGAUCAAUGCCCUCGCAGUGAAGGAGGGAUUGGGGCUAGAACAAGGGCUGGGGCAAGUGCUGCCUAGCCAGGGCGGGGCAGGGGCGGGCACCUCCCUCCACUGCAUGCCACUGCUCCGGGAGCUGCUGCAGACAACUUUCAAAAGCAGCUUAUCUGGGAACAACAGAAAAAAACUUAUUUGUUCUUCCUGUGGUGGACUGCACAGACCUUGGCUCUUCUAGGAAAAAAAUAAAAAUAAAAGGCAUAAUAAAAUCCUAGUGUAGACAGGGUAGUUUGUACUACUGUGACUGUAUCAAGGCUGUUUUCCCCCUGCCUUGUUCCUACUGUACUUGGGCAGAACUGGUCUACAGCCAGAUGGACUUUAUUUAUUCUGAAGAAGAUAACUGUGUUACUACCUGCAUAUAAGUAAUUAAGCUUUAAUCACUCUUAAAAGUGAUUUAUAAAAGUGAUAUAAAAGUAAUCUUAAAUAGUCCUAGAGUGGAUGCAGUUGUCCAGGUAUCACUCUCUAACCAGGAGUAAUGACCACAGACUUCUGGAAGACUGUUUCAGGCUCAACAUUAGGAAAAACUUCACAGUCAGGGUGUCCAGACUGGAAUAAGCUCCCUCCAGAGGUGGUGCAAUCACCUACCCUGGAAAUCUUCAAGACGAGACUAGACAGUCAGCUCACUGGAGUCAGUUGUCUUCCUGCCUAGAGUGGGGGGGCGGGACCCAAUGAUCUUCUGAGGUCCCUUCCAGCCCCUUACAAUCUAUGGAAGGCACAAACUAUAUAGGUAUGACCAACACCCUCAAAACUACACAGGAAUGUCAUUUUUAUACCAUGUAUACUACCACACUCAGAGCUGCACUAGUCAGAUAGGCUGCUUACAGACAUAGAACACCCCCCCCACAAAAAAACCAACAACAGUGCUUUACUUGAAGCUCAGCAUGCCUCUGCACUGAGCUCAGUGCAUGCCCAGAAGAGGCAUCAUGUUAGCUGGACCCAGCUUACCCAACAUCUGUAUAGCUGAUUCAAUCUGAGUUAUUAGAUAAAAGUGCCGAAAAGCCCCGCUGAAGCACUUGAUGUAUACAAAUGCUGCAGAGCCAGGCUGAACUAACACCCUGCUUCUUCCAUUAAAGUGUUUUUGUUUUUUGUUUGCUUG